AGAGUCAACGCUGGCGGCGUGCCUAACACAUGCAAGUCGAACGAGAAAGUGGAGCAAUCCAUGAGUAAAGUGGCGCACGGGUGAGUAACACGUGACUAACCUACCCUUGAGUGGGGAAUAACUGAGGGAAACCUUGGCUAAUACCGCAUAAUACCUACGGGUCAAAGGAGCAAUUCGCUUAAGGAGGGGGUCGCGGCAGAUUAGCUAGUUGGCGGGGUAAUGGCCCACCAAGGCAGUGAUCUGUA
RNAcentral lists this ribosomal RNA (245 nucleotides) under uncultured bacterium. RNAcentral's name for it is "partial small subunit ribosomal RNA". It matches the Rfam family "Bacterial small subunit ribosomal RNA", at positions 26 to 285 of the family's 1533-position model. The record is from RNAcentral.